CGUUGAAACACAGAUUCCCAUACGAUCACCAUAGUUAAACAAUGUUGAGCCUGGUCAGUACCUAGAUGGUGACCAUUUGGAAAUGCCAGGUACUGUAAG
Molecule: non-coding RNA, 99 nt
Organism: Acanthosepion pharaonis
Lineage: Eukaryota; Metazoa; Mollusca; Cephalopoda; Sepiida; Sepiidae
Source: the annotation of a GenBank genome assembly